This is a long non-coding RNA of Salvia miltiorrhiza (redroot sage), 2340 nucleotides long. RefSeq lists it as uncharacterized. The record is from RefSeq and is a predicted model, not a curated record. NCBI's taxonomy places the organism in Eukaryota, Viridiplantae, Streptophyta, Magnoliopsida, Lamiales, Lamiaceae. The transcript is spliced from 2 exons.
UUCCAUCUUGCACCUAGGUGCAUUGUACCUAGGUGCUGGAUGGACGACACGUGGCUUCCACUUCAAUUCCAUUUCCUUUUAUUUUUUUCAACCAUUUAACUCAACCAAGGUUCAAAGUCGGGGCCCACACGGGAGUUAGGUUUGAUUAAUUCAAAUUUUAUACUGUAUUUCGUUUUAUUUUUAAUAUACAAUACGUUUGUGGGACCCAUUAUUAGUAAAGCAAAGCUUUCAAGAGAAGUUUCUAUUCCUCAAAAAUAUCUGGUUUCGCAUUCAAUAUAUUUUGAAUUCAACAAGUGAGUCCCAUUUUUGUUUGAAUGUAAAGAAGUUUGAGGCAAAAAUCUCCCGGCAACAUUUUUUGGGUUGUAAGAGUGAAUGCGAUUUUGUUCGUCAUUCUUAAUCACACAUCGGAGUCCGUGGCCGACAGGUUUCGCAUCCUUGCCGGAGACACCUUCGUCGGAGAUUUGGUUGUUUUUAAGCUUGCGGGAGCUGUGGUUGUGGUUAUUCGAGCAAACGAAGGAGGUGGGUCUCAUUUUAGUUUGAAUUCGACAAAUAUUGUGCGAAAAAUUGAGAUCGUCAUUUUUUUGGUGGGAAGCUUGAAGGCGACUGUGUUCGUCAUUUUUCAUCAAUCUUCACAAAGUUUGUCAGCGACUACUUUGGGAUCCUUGUCGGAGACAUCUUCCCGGCGUUUGAAUGGUUAGAGUUGGGUCCGGCGUUGUUGACACGUGUUGUUUCCUCUCCCGGUGUUUCGGCCUUUCCAGUUCCGUGGGUUCCCCUUCCAUUGCCGUUUCCCCUCCCGGCGUUGGCUCCGGCGUUUUGUAAGUCGUUUCGCCGUUCGUUAUUUCUCUUUUUCAUUCAAUUUAUUUUUUCCUUCACUUGGUGUAGUUAGAUAUUUAUAGGUUUUUUAGUUGCAAAAUGUUAUAAUAUGUUUUUUUGCUUCGAUUCGGUUUAAUUAGGCAAAUUAAUGGUGAAUCGAGCUAGAUCUAUGGGUUUUUGUUUAUUGAUUACCUAGUAUUCUAGUUAUAACUCAAUUGUUGAUUGUCGAGGAUGGUGGUGGGAAAUGUUGAGGUGCCACCCAAGAGAAAACGUUCAGCAAGGUUGAUCCUGCUGAUAAUGAUGGUGGAGAGGAUGACGAGAGGCCAGCACGUUGCCGGCGAUUCUGUUGAUCCUGUUGAAAUCUUGUCGGUAAGGUUGAUCCUGUUGAAAUCUUGUCGGUAAGCUCCGCUCCACUCAUGGAGCUGCAAAAUGUUAUUUAAAUCCAAAAACGAUGAAAAUGUUGAAUAACAUUUUGUCUAAAAUUUUUGUAGUAUUUUUACUGAAAUUUGACCUAUAUCUUCUAAGAUAUGAAAUUUGACCUUUAUAUAUCCAACAAUGCAAAUGAUUCGCGCAAGCUUCAUCACAUCUGGCAUUGCUCUUAGCUGUUAGGGCUCGAGUUGAAUGGUGCAAAUAAUCAAAGGAUUUUGACUCCAGAAUAUACUGCUGAUAUAGGUAGCUUGGACUUUUCUUUGCUUUCUCAUGUGCUGAAUGUGAUCUUCUUUAGGGAAUUCCAUCUGCAUUUUGUCAUCAAACUUGAACAAAGUCAUUGCUUUUAGUGAUCACCCUAAGUUUAGUGAUUUAUGAUAGUAGUCUGCUAAGGUUUUUGAAGGCAUUGGCUAUUAUGAGAACACAAUAAAUCAUUUUCAACUUGGAAUAGACAAUUUCAAUUUCUCCAUUGUUAGAAAUCAUUUUCUAUUCCGAAUAACUCCGACUAAUUAGUUAUACUUCUUACCUGUUGCCAAACACAUAGCAGUCCGUGAUUGAAAGUCAUGAUAUAAUGAUAAUGUAUUAACAACUUCACAUACUUAACUAUCACAUUUUUAUGUCAUUGAUGAUAUGUAGUAUGAUUUCUAGUUUAUCCGUUAAAGUAUUACUAAUUAUUUUCCACUUUCUUCUUUCCACUAUCCGUUAAAAUUCUCCAAUGAUAGGUAAUCGUUUUGGAAUCUUUGUAAUUUAAAAAUCUAACUUGUCUAAAUUUUUUUGACCAGGUAACAGUUUUAGUUUUUGCAAUAAUGAUUGCAUCUGCAGUGCUGAUAAUGACCAGCCCACUCUGAUAUAUUGCUUCGUUUCCAGAUCUUGUAGACUUGUUUGGUGUGGAUUCUCUUGAUGAGUUUCAGACGUUAAGAGGGCAAUAGACAACAAGAAAUCAGUUCCAACUUGUCAUAUUUUGAUCAUUAUUAGUCCCUUCUUUUUAUCAUUGCUUUGUAUACCAAUGCAUUUUAUCGUCAUCUAUUGUUGUAAAGAACAUGUGUGCUUCCUGAACAUAUGUUUUGUACAGAGAUCUCGUGUAAGAACAACCCUUGCUCC